AAUGGAAGACUACUGCCACCAAAAAAAAUGGCAUCUGGCCAUUGGCACCAAUGUGCAUGGAGCUAGACUGUAUAAUGCUAUGUGAAAAAGGUCAGAGA
Long non-coding RNA from Lynx canadensis (Canada lynx), 98 nucleotides. RefSeq lists it as uncharacterized. Lineage: Eukaryota; Metazoa; Chordata; Mammalia; Carnivora; Felidae. The transcript has 3 exons. The record is from RefSeq and is a predicted model, not a curated record.